This 460-nucleotide ribosomal RNA is filed under the name uncultured bacterium. Its description in RNAcentral is "partial 16S ribosomal RNA". It matches the Rfam family "Bacterial small subunit ribosomal RNA", at positions 338 to 795 of the family's 1533-position model. The record is from RNAcentral.
CCUACGGGUGGCAGCAGUGAGGAAUAUUGGUCAAUGGACGCAAGUCUGAACCAGCCAUGCCGCGUGCAGGAAGACGGCCCUAUGAGUUGUAAACUGCUUUUGUACGAGGGUAAACGCAGAUACGCGUAUCUGUCUGAAAGUAUCGUACGAAUAAGGAUCGGCUAACUCCGUGCCAGCAGCCGCGGUAAUACGGAGGAUGCAAGCGUUAUCCGGAUUUAUUGGGUUUAAAGGGUGCGUAGGCGGUAGGAUAAGUUAGAGGUGAAAUCCCGAGGCUCAACUUCGUAAGUGCCUUUGAUACUGUUCGUCUAGAGUGUAGUUGCGGUAGGCGGAAUGUAUGGUGUAGCGGUGAAAUGCUUAGAGAUCAUACAGAACACCGAUUGCGAAGGCAGCUUACCAGGCUACUUCUGACGUUGAGGCACGAAAGCGUGGGGAGCAAACAGGAUUAGAUACCCCAGUAGUC